This 75-nucleotide transfer RNA is filed under the name Candidatus Saccharimonadota bacterium. Its description in RNAcentral is "tRNA-Asn". It matches the Rfam family "tRNA". From Rfam's summary of the family: Transfer RNA (tRNA) molecules are approximately 80 nucleotides in length. Lineage: Bacteria; Candidatus Saccharimonadota. RNAcentral also lists the same sequence under 1 other name. The record is from RNAcentral.
UCGGGGGUAGCUCAGUGGUAGAGCGGGACGCUGUUAACGUCUAGGUCGCUGGUUCGAGCCCAGUCCCCCGAGCCA